UGAUAAAUUCAUCUUCUUUGUACUCAUCACGGGAUCAAAAGGAACACAGAUGUUUUUAGCAAUCGGUGGCCUCUGAAAUACAGCGUUUUAAAAGCAGAGCCCACGAUCCUUCUGGAGGAUUACACGGUACAAACGCACACAACAAACCAGCACACUCGACCCGCACCGAGACGCCAAGAGCCUCACCAAGACUCUUCCUGUGCCUGGCAGAGCCCAUGGUGUGUCCGCGAUCAGGCACCCUCCCCACGGCGCGUGUGUGGUCCCGGGGUCCCCCCGCGGGGUGGUCAUGGCCCGGGGACACCCCACGGCACGCCUGUGGUCCCGGGGACCCCCGCGGGUGCCUGUGGCCGGGCCUCGGGCCCUGGACGCCCACCCGCCGGCCGCCUCUGUCCUCGGUGAGUGUGCCGGGUGCCCGGUCCCCGCGUGCCCACGCGCUGAGGGUCCGUGCAACCCCUCAGCCACUGCCAGGCCCUCCCGCACCCGGUCCCACACGGGGCCUCCUCCGGCCGUGGAAACGCCGGGCUGAUCGCGGGUGGAGCGGGGCUCUCCCCUGGUGUCCGGUAAGCGUAGGCAGGUGGCCAGCCAGUCGCCUCUGCACGAGGCCGGGCGCCAGGACAAGGCCCGGGGCGCCCAGGUCACCCCGGGGCAGCCCGCGCUUGAUGGUGCCCUGGUGGCCCCGAGCCUCCCCGCCAGGUCCCACCGCUGCCCGCCCUCGCUGGACAGGACCCACCACGGUCAGAAUUCCCGGUAGGGCCGCUGACGCUCCGGACCGAGACAGCCACGAACGCUCUCUUCAGGCUCUCCAAGCGGACCCCAGGAAACUUCCAGAAGCUCCUCCAAGAGCAAGAAAUGUCCUUCUCAUCCUUCACUUCGUGGAUCAAAUGCACCCUCUUCGCGCCGUCUCUCAGCCCUCCUCCUCAUCGUAUGUGUAGGACGACUUCCCCGUUUGAGGACCCUACGUUCCCCUGAGCUGGAGGCCUCUGCUCCUGUGGCCCUGCCCCGCCCCCA
RNAcentral lists this long non-coding RNA (1008 nucleotides) under Felis catus (domestic cat). RNAcentral's name for it is "lncRNA (ENSFCAG00000047134.1)". Lineage: Eukaryota; Metazoa; Chordata; Mammalia; Carnivora; Felidae. The record is from RNAcentral.